UUCUUAUCAAGAGCGGCAGAGGGACUGGCCCGAUGAAGCCCGGCAACCCCAUUACCUUUAUUAAAAGGGAGGAAGGUGCCAAAUCCAGCAGGAUAGUAUAAGCCUGAGAGAUAAGAA
Non-coding RNA from Aneurinibacillus migulanus, 117 nucleotides. NCBI's taxonomy places the organism in Bacteria, Bacillati, Bacillota, Bacilli, Caryophanales, Paenibacillaceae. The record is from Rfam.